Molecule: ribosomal RNA, 253 nt
Filed under: uncultured bacterium
Lineage: Bacteria
Description: partial 16S ribosomal RNA
Rfam family: Bacterial small subunit ribosomal RNA
Source: RNAcentral
UACGUAGGAUGCAAGCGUUGUCCGGAAUUACUGGGCGUAAAGGGCUCGUAGGUGGCCAACUAAGUCAGACGUGAAAUCCCUCGGCUUAACCGGGGAACUGCGUCUGAUACUGGAUGGCUUGAGAUUGGGAGAGGGAUGCGGAAUUCCAGGUGUAGCGGUGAAAUGCGUAGAUAUCUGGAGGAACACCGGUGGCGAAGGCGGCAUCCUGGACCAACACUGACACUGAGGAGCGAAAGCCAGGGGAGCAAACGGG